Salarias fasciatus (jewelled blenny) is the source of this 884-nucleotide long non-coding RNA. RefSeq lists it as uncharacterized. The record is from RefSeq and is a predicted model, not a curated record. NCBI's taxonomy places the organism in Eukaryota, Metazoa, Chordata, Actinopteri, Blenniiformes, Blenniidae. The transcript is spliced from 2 exons.
GUGUGUGUGUGUGUGUGUGUGUGUGUGUGUGUGUGUGUGUGUGUGUGUGUGUGUGUGUUAUGCUGGUUUCUGUGAGCUCAGCUAUCAACCUGCAAAUCAAGACUGAAAAGGCCUGAAUGUAAACCACUGGGCUUGUCCUCGGUACUGGAUCAUGAUUCAUGCAUGUGAUGCUUGACAUACCACUGAUGAGUACCCUGAGAAUUCCAGACCCAUGAUUUUGCCGUGCGUGUCGUGAGAACUUGACAUUAAGAUUUAGACUCAUACUUACUUUCAAUGUCUGCGAGUUUUGCAAAUUGAAACCCGAUAAAAGCUGUGGUGGCGACACGCGGGAACGCCAAGCCUCCAUAAAUACAGUAAAAACAAUUAUUUCUACCCCCCACCACUACGUGAUAUUUUAACCAAUACGUGUAUGAGUUCAGCUGUAACACCUCACAAUAAUACAUAGCUUACAAAUAUAUUUUUGACAAACUUGCGGGCAACACAGUGACCUCCAAGUAUAAAGACUGACAAUGGCAGCUCCAUGAAAAUACACACAAUAUAAGAAUCCGCUGCCAAUAAGAUGCAGUCCAGCUGCACACCACUGCAAACUUCAACUUCAACAAUGAACAUGGUGUUGGAAGAAAAGAAAGAAACUCUCUGACAAUCUCAAGCCAAACGUAACAUCGUUACCUCUGUGAAGGCAGAAUUCAUGGCAGAGCUGUUUCACAGGAUCACAUUAUGUUGUGCAAUUCUAUCCAAUAAUUAAAAAAAAAAACAAAAAAAAGGCCGAGUGGGUACGCUCGUGCUAAGUUCUGCAUCACGUUCACCAGCUCUUUUCCAACUUGCCUGUUUGCUGUUUGGUGCCGGGCAAGUAGUUUAUAGUCUGUUUAUCAGAGCUUUUCACA